RNAcentral lists this ribosomal RNA (1543 nucleotides) under uncultured Nanobdellati archaeon. RNAcentral's name for it is "bacterial SSU rRNA". It matches the Rfam family "Archaeal small subunit ribosomal RNA". The record is from RNAcentral. Lineage: Archaea; Nanobdellati.
CGUACGGCUCAGUAACACGUAGUCAACCUACCGUAAAGAGGUGAAUACCCCCGGGAAACUGGGGCUAAUACACCAUAAGUUAGGACAUCUGGAAGGAGUCUUAACCGAAAGGUGCGUAAAUUGCAGCGCUACUGCUUUACGAUGGGACUGCGGCGGAUCAGGCAGAUGGCGGGGUAACGGCCCACCAUACCGAUAACCCGUAGGGGAUAUGGGAGUAUGAGCCCCGAGAAGGACACUGAGACAAGGGUCCUAGCGCUAUGGCGUGCAGCAGGCGCGCAAACUCCGCAAUGCGCGGAAGCGUGACGGGGGGAAUCUGAGUGGCUCACUACGGUGAGCCUUUUGCCAAGUAUAGCAAGCUUGGCGAAUAAGUGCUGGGCAAGACCGGUGGCAGCCGCCACGGUAAUACCGGCAGCACGAGUAGUGUCCACGAUUACUGGGCUUAAAGCGCCCGUAGCCGGCCGGUACCGUCUCAUGUGAAAUAUUGGCGCUCAACGUCAAUGCGUGCAUGAGAUACCUAUCGGCUAGGGAACAGGUGAGGUCAGGGGUACUCAUUGGGGAGGGGUAAAAUCCUGUAAUCCUUUGAGGACCAACGGUGGCGAAGGCGCCUGACUAGAAUGUAUCCGACGGUGAGGGGCGAAGGCUAGGAGAACGAAUCGGAUUAGAUACCCGAGUAGCCCUAGCAGUAAAUUAUGCAAACUCUGGUGUUGCACACGUCUUGAACAUGUGCAGUAUCGUAUGGAAGUCGAGCCCAACAGGAUAAUUGUUGACGAGACAGGUCCCUUCACCACGGUGAAGUUCUACAAUUCUGCAGUGAGAAAGCUGUUCGAAAAGAGCCUUCAGAGGAAGGCGAUGAUCUUCAAAUACAGGAACGGCUAUUCCGCAAGCUACAUAGCAGCGCUCUACGACUGCAAUGGAGGAAAGGACUCCCAUGGCAUGUACGUAAGUGGCAUCAAGACCGAUACCAUCGUCAUGCUGGAGAGGCUUGGAUUCCAUACGGCGCAGAGAGGCUCAAGGACCUACAUAAGGAACGGCGAUGACCUUGUCAUGUUCAUAAAAGACAGGAGCCUUUCCCCUAUUAGUAGCAUCAUUUCUUAGCCCGGAAACGAGCGAGACCUUCGCAGACAGUUGCCACCUGUUCAGAGAUGAACGGAGCACUCUGUUUGGAUCGCCUCUGUUUAAAGAGGAUGAAAGAGAAGACGACGAUACGUCAGUACGAUCCGAAUCUCCUGGGCUACACGCGGCAUACAAAGGUUGGUACAAUGGGACGCAAUGCCGAAAGGCAAAGCAAAUCCCCUAAAGCCAAUCCCAGUCCGGAUUGAGGGUUGGAACUCACCCUCAUGAAGUUGGAAUCCCUAGUAAUCGCUUGUCACUAUCGAGCGGUGAAUCUGUCCCCGCUCCUUGCACACACCGCCCGCCAAGUCACCCAAGUAGGGUUUUAAUGAGACGAUACCUAAGGUGCCGUCGAGUUAAGGCUUUGUGAGGAGGGCUAAGGCGUAACAAGGUAUCCGUAGGGGAACCUGCGGAUAGAUCACCUCAAAAGGGC